This 253-nucleotide ribosomal RNA is filed under the name uncultured bacterium. Its description in RNAcentral is "partial 16S ribosomal RNA". It matches the Rfam family "Bacterial small subunit ribosomal RNA", at positions 524 to 776 of the family's 1533-position model. The record is from RNAcentral.
UACGUAGGGUGCAAGCGUUGUCCGGAAUUAUUGGGCGUAAAGAGCUUGUAGGCGGUUUGUCGCGUCUGCUGUGAAAUUUCGGGGCUCAACCCCGAACUUGCAGUGGGUACGGGCAGACUAGAGUGUGGUAGGGGAGACUGGAAUCCCUGGUGUAGCGGUGAAAUGCGCAGAUAUCAGGAGGAACACCGAUGGCGAAGGCAGGUCUCUGGGCCAUAACUGACGCUGAGAAGCGAAAGCAUGGGGAGCGAACAGG